RNAcentral lists this ribosomal RNA (491 nucleotides) under uncultured bacterium. RNAcentral describes it as "partial 16S ribosomal RNA". It matches the Rfam family "Bacterial small subunit ribosomal RNA", at positions 28 to 507 of the family's 1533-position model. The record is from RNAcentral.
GAUGAACGCUGGCUACAGGCUUAACACAUGCAAGUCGAGGGGAAACGACGGGGAAGCUUGCUUCCCCGGGCGUCGACCGGCGCACGGGUGAGUAACGCGUAUCCAACCUGCCUCUGACUGAGGGAUAACCCGUCGAAAGUCGGCCUAAUACCUCAUGGUAUCGUCUGCGGGCAUCCAACGACGAUUAAAGAUUUCAUCGGUCAGGGAUGGGGAUGCGUCUGAUUAGCUUGUUGGCGGGGUAACGGCCCACCAAGGCUACGAUCAGUAGGGGUUCUGAGAGGGAGGUUCCCCACAUUGGAACUGAGACACGGUCCAAACUCCUACGGGAGGCAGCAGUGAGGAAUAUUGGUCAAUGGGCGAGAGCCUGAACCAGCCAAGUAGCGUGCAGGAAGACGGCCCUAUGGGUUGUAAACUGCUUUUAUGCGGGGAUAAAGUGAGGGACGUGUCCCUCAUUGCAGGUACCGCAUGAAUAAGGACCGGCUAAUUCCGUG